UAGGUAAAUAGUCAUAUUUGCGCCGAC
RNAcentral lists this non-coding RNA (27 nucleotides) under Bombyx mori (domestic silkworm). The record is from RNAcentral. Lineage: Eukaryota; Metazoa; Arthropoda; Insecta; Lepidoptera; Bombycidae.